AUACCUUUCUCGGCCUUUUGGCUAAGAUCAAGUGUAGUAUCUGUUCUUAUCAGUUUAAUAUCUGAUAUGUGAACUAUGUGUUCACUUCGAUAUUAAAUUUAUUUUUUGUGGGGGAGGGUCCGUAUAGUAGCUUGCUACUUGGUCCUCGUGUGUCGCUCGGGCGUUGCACUUCUGCCCGAGCCAGGCGCAUCCCAA
This is a non-coding RNA of Zea mays, 195 nucleotides long. Lineage: Eukaryota; Viridiplantae; Streptophyta; Magnoliopsida; Poales; Poaceae. The record is from Rfam.